GAUGAACGCUGGCGGCGUGCCUAAUACAUGCAAGUCGAGCGAACGGACGAGAAGCUUGCUUCUCUGACGUUAGCGGCGGACGGGUGAGUAACACGUGGAUAACCUACCUAUAAGACUGGGAUAACUUCGGGAAACCGGAGCUAAUACCGGAUAAUAUUUUGAACCGCAUGGUUCAAAAGUGAAAGACGGUCUUGCUGUCACUUAUAGAUGGAUCCGCGCUGCAUUAGCUAGUUGGUAAGGUAACGGCUUACCAAGGCAACGAUGCAUAGCCGACCUGAGAGGGUGGUCGGCCACACUGGAACUGAGACACGGUCCAGACGCCUACGGGAGGCAGCAGUAGGGAAUCUUCCGCAAUGGGCGAAAGCCUGACGGAGCAACGCCGCGUGAGUGAUGAAGGUCUUCGGAUCGUAAAACUCUGUUAUUAGGGAAGAACAUAUGUGUAAGUAACUGUGCACAUCUUGAUGGUACCUAAUCAGAAAGCCACGGCUAACUACGUG
This 497-nucleotide ribosomal RNA is filed under the name uncultured bacterium. RNAcentral's name for it is "partial 16S ribosomal RNA". It matches the Rfam family "Bacterial small subunit ribosomal RNA", at positions 28 to 507 of the family's 1533-position model. The record is from RNAcentral.